This 252-nucleotide ribosomal RNA is filed under the name uncultured bacterium. RNAcentral describes it as "partial 16S ribosomal RNA". It matches the Rfam family "Bacterial small subunit ribosomal RNA", at positions 524 to 776 of the family's 1533-position model. The record is from RNAcentral.
UACAGAGGUCCCAAGCGUUGUUCGGAUUCACUGGGCGUAAAGGGUGCGUAGCGGUCGGGUAAGUCUGAUGUGAAAUCUCCAAGCCUAACUUGGAAACUGCAUUGGAUACUAUCCGGCUAGAGGAAUGGAGGGGAGACUGGAAUACUUGGUGUAGCAGUGAAAUGCGUAGAUAUCAAGUGGAACACCAGUGGCGAAGGCGAGUCUCGUGGACAUUUCCUGACGCUGAGGCACGAAAGCCAGGGAGCAAACGGG